RNAcentral lists this ribosomal RNA (492 nucleotides) under uncultured bacterium. RNAcentral describes it as "partial 16S ribosomal RNA". It matches the Rfam family "Bacterial small subunit ribosomal RNA", at positions 29 to 507 of the family's 1533-position model. The record is from RNAcentral.
AGUGAACGCUGGCGGUAGGCCUAACACAUGCAAGUCGAACGGCAGCACAGUAAGAGCUUGCUCUUACGGGUGGCGAGUGGCGGACGGGUGAUGAAUACAUCGGAAUCUACUUUUUCGUGGGGGAUAACGUAGGGAAACUUACGCUAAUACCGCAUACGACCUACGGGUGAAAGCAGGGGAUCUUCGGACCUUGCGCGAUUGAAUGAGCCGAUGUCGGAUUAGCUAGUUGGCGGGGUAAAGGCCCACCAAGGCGACGAUCCGUAGCUGGUCUGAGAGGAUGAUCAGCCACACUGGAACUGAGACACGGUCCAGACUCCUACGGGAGGCAGCAGUGGGGAAUAUUGGACAAUGGGCGCAAGCCUGAUCCAGCCAUACCGCGUGGGUGAAGAAGGCCUUCGGGUUGUAAAGCCCUUUUGUUGGGAAAGAAAGGCAGCAGGUUAAUACCCCGCUGUUCUGACGGUACCCAAAGAAUAAGCACCGGCUAACUUCGUG